GUUUUUCGCUUGAGGAUGAGCCCAUACGGGAUUAGCUAGUUGGUGAGGUAAUGGCUCACCAAGGCUACGAUCCCUAACUGGUCUUAGAGGAUGAUCAGCCACACUGGAACUGAGACACGGUCCAGACUCCUACGGGAGGCAGCAGUAGGGAAUAUUGCACAAUGGGGGAAACCCUGAUGCAGCGACGCCGCGUGAGUGAUGAAGGCCUUCGGGUCGUAAAGCUCUGUCGUAUGGGACUAACAC
Molecule: ribosomal RNA, 243 nt
Filed under: uncultured Bdellovibrio sp.
Lineage: Bacteria; Pseudomonadati; Bdellovibrionota; Bdellovibrionia; Bdellovibrionales; Pseudobdellovibrionaceae
Description: partial 16S ribosomal RNA
Rfam family: Bacterial small subunit ribosomal RNA
Source: RNAcentral